RNAcentral lists this transfer RNA (86 nucleotides) under Felis catus (domestic cat). It matches the Rfam family "tRNA". From Rfam's summary of the family: Transfer RNA (tRNA) molecules are approximately 80 nucleotides in length. RNAcentral also lists the same sequence under 3 other names. The record is from Rfam by way of RNAcentral. Lineage: Eukaryota; Metazoa; Chordata; Mammalia; Carnivora; Felidae.
GCCUGGGUGGCUCAGUCGGUUAAGCAUCUGACUUUGGCUCAGAUCAUGAUCUCACUGGCUCGUGAAUUCAAGCCCCACAUCGGGCU